This 1271-nucleotide long non-coding RNA is filed under the name Marmota monax (woodchuck). The record is from RNAcentral. Lineage: Eukaryota; Metazoa; Chordata; Mammalia; Rodentia; Sciuridae.
GGGGAGCAACGGCAGGGCAGGUUCUCCAGGCCGGCAGGAGAUGCAGGGAGAGGUCCACUCGGGAUAGACAGCAGCUGCUCUGACCUGAGCAGCACAAGCCAGAAAAAGGGGUGUCCCCAGGGUGUGAGGAGUUGGGGACACCAGAGGUGAUGGCCAGCCUACAGGAGGGGUCACAGUCCGGACACCUUAAGGACAGAAAGCACCUGUGAGACACCAGGCAUUGGGGUCACCUCUACCAAGAGCAGAGAGAAAGCAGCCAGAAAUGCCAGCUCUUUGUGGAGGUCCCACCAGGAGCCCAGGCAGUGCACCCCCAGGAGGAGGGACACCAGAGUGUGCAGGUCCCACCAGGAGCCCAGGCAGCCCACCCCCAGGAGGAGGGACACCAGAGUGUGGAGGUCCCACCAGGAGCCCAGGCAGCCCACCCCCAGGAGGAGGGACACCAGAGUGUGGAGGUCCCACCAGGAGCCCAGGCAGUGCACCCCCAGGAGUAAGGACACCAGAGUGUGGAGGUCCCACCAGGAGCCCAGGCAGCCCACCCCCAGGAGUAAGGACACCAGAGUGUGGAGGUCCCACCAGGAGCCCAGGCAGCCCCACCCCCAGGUGUAAGGACACCAGAGUGUGGAGGUCCCACCAGGCAGCCCACUCCCAGGAGGAGGGACACCAGAGUGUGGAGGUCCACCAGGAGCCCAGGCAGCCCACCCCCAGGAUCAGGGACACCAGAGUGUGGAGGUCCCACCAGGAGCCCAGGCACCCCCACCCCCAGGAGGAAGGACACCAGAGUUUGUUCGCCUGUCCAUGGUGUCCCAGCAGGACAGUGCUCUGAGAGGAGGGUGGGCGCAGUGUCUGGAGCAGUCAGUGGAGUCAAGACAAGGAGGGGCGGCUGUCUGGCGACCCUCCUUACCAGCCACAGUGAGCAGGAGAGGACACUGAUGGGCGGGAGGCCACCAGUGUUCCAGGUACAAGAGGCCCAGGUGAGGACAGAGCAGCCUGGACCUGGCUGGACCUCUACCCAAGAAGCUCAAGCAUUAUUUCCAGCAGAAGUGUCAGAGGUCAGAGUCCACAGGCUACUGCAUAGGGACCUGCCUGCCUGAGGGCAGGUGUCUGAAGGACAGGUGGUCUAGCCAGUGGCUGUCUAGCAGGGCUCCCAGGGGAUGGUCAGGCAGGUUGGGCCACUUCCCUACAGCUGCAAGUCCACCCACCCAAGGCCAGCUUCCCCAACCCAGCCUCCCAGGGAGAUGGCGCUUUCCCCUGGGCAGGCUUGGGACCACCAC